UACAUUGGCGAAACCGGACGUCACAUACGACUUCGCUACAAUGAACAUCUACGGGACGCGAAGAACCACCGUAUGGACUCACCGUGGGGCGACCACUUCAGAGAUGACCACCCUCGAUGUCGCCCAGAGCCCCAACACAUCGCGGCCAAGAUCCUACAGACAUGCAACACCAGCAGAGACAGGAAAAUAGCAGAGUCGCUAUGGAUAAGGACAUACCGACCAGCCCUAAACACCAACAUCGCAUCUUGGGCAGUUCUGUGAUUAGUGUGAACUGUCAGACUGAGACGUGAUAGAUGUUGGGAUAGCCUCAUGACUGUUAGAUCUUUUGGCUUUUGAGAUGCUUAGUUAGAUGUUUUAUUAAAUGCCGAUGUUUGAAUGAAUCAUUGAAUGGUUGAUUAUAUGUAUGAUUAAAUGGAAUAUUGAAUGAUAGAUUGAUAGAUGAUUGAAUGGACGACUGUGGGUCUGAUUGAUUUAAUGGUUGAAGAGUUGCUUGAUUGGAUGAUAAAAUCGUUGUUUGUUUGAUUGAAUGACUGCUUGAUUGUAUGAUAAAACGUUUGAUUGAAUGAUUUGGAAUGGAUACUUGAAUGGUUUGUCGACUCCAUGACUGAAUGUAAUGGGUGUAACUAGUUGAUUGAACAAUUGGAUGAAUGGCUAGUUUGUUGGCUAGACAAUCGAUCUAUUGAGUAGUUGGUUGUGUACACCUUGCAUGUUAGUUGUAAUUAUAUUGUGUGUUUCUAAGAUGACUAGCAUAGUUAUUCGUUGGGUCACAAGUGAUCUCAUACAGUUGUAUUUGGUUACGUUACCUUAUGUAUACCUGUUAUUUUAGUCUUGCGUUGAUUAAAAGAGGCCGUUCUACUUAUAUGGCACGAGAAUGUGACUAAUAUUCGUAGGUGGGAUCAGUGAAUUCGGCGCUUUUGUGACGUUCAAUUAUUUGUACAUUUCUGUGGCUUGUAUAGUUAACUUUUUGAACUGAAGAAGGAACGUUUCCGAAAUAUAUUCAUUGAUUUUAGGCUAAUUUUUUGGUUUGUUUAAAGAUAGUGAGCAUAAGGUUAUUCUUCUACGAUAUUCAAUAAUGCUGCUCAUUUUAGUACUUCGCCAUCUUAUUAUACUUUGUUUUGAUACGGUUUCUCAUAAAAAGUUAAGUUCAGAUUACUUUCGGGAAAGGAACGAGAAUGCAACUCAUGCUCGGAAUACUCAAAACAUGUAAACUCGAGCAUUGCUUUGGCUUGGUUUUGCAAUUUUUUGCUCGACGAUUCAUGCUGGGUUCUAGAACUGCUGUUUUAUCAGCAUAGUUGAAAUUUCCAUAUCUUCGAAAUUCCAUUGUCCUCGGUUUGCCGUAUUAUUGUAUGCAUCCAUGAGACUCACGUGCAACUGCCAGGCUACUGUUGAACUGGCUGGCACUGGCUACUGUGCAAGGCCGUAUAACUACUGUGUAUGAACACAUUACAUGCCGCUUGAAAAGAAUGCUGUAUCACGAAAGGAAUGAAGUCAACAGGAGCUAUCCGUCUUUUGCGACAGUGCGAAAACCGGCUGUCUUGGUUGUCGCGUGUCUGUUGUUUCCAGAGAGGCAGACACAGAGAGCACCGCGCCCCGCCCCUCCGUGCGCCCCGGCAAGCCCCUGUCUGCGGACACCGUCCGUCAGGACAGGGUGGGCCACCCAAAAUGUCGCCAGCUGAUGUACGAGCGCCGUUCAUCGGAUUACAUGCACGGUAGCUCGGCGCGGGCCAGCCCGGCCUACACGAAUCGCUGUCACGCAGCUUGAAAACGCCGCCUGCAUGCAGCGAGCCCUUGUGAGUGACGGAGAUAGCGGACUCGGGACUUCUCCGGUCUCCAGACUCAGACCCAUCACCCGGGAGCUACUGGUAUCCGGAAUGGCAUGGACCGCGCACCGUAAUUAGGUAUCAUCAGACGGUCGGGUAUGGGACGAGCUGACAUCACUGCAACUACAGGCGCGUGUGUAACGACAGACAUGUGUGCCUCCGAGCGAUGACGAAGGACGGCAAUGGCAGUCGGGUAACGCCCUGCAAAGUCCGGCCAGCAGGAAAUGUGACGUAGCUAUAGCAGAAAAUGCGAUAGUUUCACGUCCGGCUGGCGGUAAAGUCAACAAGUUCACGCGUGAGAAGAGGAGUAACGGUGGCAGGGAAGGCUAAAAUAGAGAGAGGAUCGCAGAAGUAAAACUACGAGAAGCCACAAAAUGAAACUGCCCCAGCUGAACAAACGUCUUGUGGUGCAGCAGAUGCAAGUGAAGCACGGCUGAGGAGUAGCAAGGCGAGGAUUAAACGGAGUGGAACAUCACAGAGCAGCCGCUUCUCGAAUGGUGCAGGUUGUGUGACUGCAGGGCAACUGUUGAGGCCGCCAUUUUUGUGGGACGCUGUUACUGUGAUUUUGCUCCCCAGAAUCAAAAGCAUGUCAUGGAGGAACGAAGGAACGUAU
RNAcentral lists this long non-coding RNA (2433 nucleotides) under Amphibalanus amphitrite. RNAcentral's name for it is "uncharacterized LOC122380711". Lineage: Eukaryota; Metazoa; Arthropoda; Thecostraca; Balanomorpha; Balanidae. The record is from RNAcentral.